RNAcentral lists this ribosomal RNA (746 nucleotides) under Acinetobacter junii. Its description in RNAcentral is "bacterial SSU rRNA". It matches the Rfam family "Bacterial small subunit ribosomal RNA", at positions 246 to 983 of the family's 1533-position model. Lineage: Bacteria; Pseudomonadati; Pseudomonadota; Gammaproteobacteria; Moraxellales; Moraxellaceae. The record is from RNAcentral.
UAGUUGGUGGGGUAAAGGCCUACCAAGGCGACGAUCUGUAGCGGGUCUGAGAGGAUGAUCCGCCACACUGGGACUGAGACACGGCCCAGACUCCUACGGGAGGCAGCAGUGGGGAAUAUUGGACAAUGGGGGGAACCCUGAUCCAGCCAUGCCGCGUGUGUGAAGAAGGCCUUAUGGUUGUAAAGCACUUUAAGCGAGGAGGAGGCUACUGAGACUAAUACUCUUGGAUAGUGGACGUUACUCGCAGAAUAAGCACCGGCUAACUCUGUGCCAGCAGCCGCGGUAAUACAGAGGGUGCGAGCGUUAAUCGGAUUUACUGGGCGUAAAGCGUGCGUAGGCGGCUUUUUAAGUCGGAUGUGAAAUCCCCGAGCUUAACUUGGGAAUUGCAUUCGAUACUGGGAAGCUAGAGUAUGGGAGAGGAUGGUAGAAUUCCAGGUGUAGCGGUGAAAUGCGUAGAGAUCUGGAGGAAUACCGAUGGCGAAGGCAGCCAUCUGGCCUAAUACUGACGCUGAGGUACGAAAGCAUGGGGAGCAAACAGGAUUAGAUACCCUGGUAGUCCAUGCCGUAAACGAUGUCUACUAGCCGUUGGGGCCUUUGAGGCUUUAGUGGCGCAGCUAACGCGAUAAGUAGACCGCCUGGGGAGUACGGUCGCAAGACUAAAACUCAAAUGAAUUGACGGGGGCCCGCACAAGCGGUGGAGCAUGUGGUUUAAUUCGAUGCAACGCGAAGAACCUUACCUGGCCUUG